UACGUAGGGUGCGAGCGUUAAUCGGAAUUACUGGGCGUAAAGCGUGCGCAGGCGGUUUUGUAAGCCAGAUGUGAAAUCCCCGGGCUUAACCUGGGAAUGGCAUUUGGGACUGCAAGGCUUGAGUGCGGCAGAGGAGACUGGAAUUCCUGGUGUAGCGGUGAAAUGCGCAGAUAUCAGGAGGAACACCGGUGGCGAAGGCGGUGGUCUGGGCCGGAACUGACGCUGAGGAGCGAAAGCGUGGGGAGCGAACCGG
Molecule: ribosomal RNA, 253 nt
Filed under: uncultured bacterium
Lineage: Bacteria
Description: partial 16S ribosomal RNA
Rfam family: Bacterial small subunit ribosomal RNA
Source: RNAcentral